AGGGUAGAGAGACGAUAAUAUCGAAACAAUAAGGAAGCGGUUGAAGGUUUUCGAGAACUCAAGCCUCCCUGUAAUUGAAUAUUAUCGCAGUGGGAAUACUUCAAGAGAUCAAUAGUGAGAUGCCUGUGGAGGAGGUUUUUAAGGAGAUCGCACAAGUUUUUUGAACUCUUGGAAAGAGCUGGAGAAAAUUUUGUUUCUCCGGGGAAAAGCUAUGGAACUGGAGUUGGAUCAACCUGAUUAUGGAGAGUGAUGCUCAAACAUCAAAAUGCAAUAAGGCUACUUUUAAUGAGACCUGCAGUACAAUGAUUUAGAUUAAUCAUUUCUUAUUUUCUCUCUAGAUUCUCAAACUGUUUGUUUAACUUUUCACCAUGUUGUGCAAUGUUUUAUGAUUAUCAGUUUUUAAUUUCCCUCAUUUUUAAGUA
This is a long non-coding RNA of Papaver somniferum (opium poppy), 422 nucleotides long. RefSeq lists it as uncharacterized. The record is from RefSeq and is a predicted model, not a curated record. NCBI's taxonomy places the organism in Eukaryota, Viridiplantae, Streptophyta, Magnoliopsida, Ranunculales, Papaveraceae. The transcript has 3 exons.